Transfer RNA from Corchorus capsularis, 87 nucleotides. It matches the Rfam family "tRNA". From Rfam's summary of the family: Transfer RNA (tRNA) molecules are approximately 80 nucleotides in length. Their secondary structure includes four short double-helical elements and three loops (D, anti-codon, and T loops). NCBI's taxonomy places the organism in Eukaryota, Viridiplantae, Streptophyta, Magnoliopsida, Malvales, Malvaceae. The record is from Rfam.
GGUGAGGUGUCCGAGUGGCUGAAGGAGCACGCCUGGAAAGUGUGUAUACGUUUACGCGUAUCGAGGGUUCGAAUCCCUCUCUCACCG